Molecule: small RNA, 410 nt
Filed under: Cryptococcus neoformans H99
Lineage: Eukaryota; Fungi; Basidiomycota; Tremellomycetes; Tremellales; Cryptococcaceae
Description: Cryptococcus neoformans var. grubii H99 hypothetical RNA
Source: RNAcentral
GAUUUUCAGAGGGGUCAUAUUCGUUGCCGAACAGGGCGAAAGGGCCAAAGUCAUGGCGGUGAUCUCACGUUCUGACUUUUUUGAACAGAAUCAAAUUUGGCUGGUGACCUUGGCAAAGUCACCACUUUUGCGGUUGCCGAACAGGCCCCUAAGGAUUGACUCACGUAAGGUUGAAGGUAUACUCUCUCGUCGUCGGGACGUCUGUUAUUUCGAAGUCAUUUGAAAGAACGAAUACACUAGGCCUUUCGGGAGCUCCGCGACCCGACGACGUAACUUACUUGCCAGUAUUCUCGCUGUUGACCAAAGAAAUGAGGGAACAGAAGAGGAAGGAAAGCUUGAUUAUGCCUCCCAUUGUUGUGAAUGUUGUCAGAGCUACCUUGAAGAUAGAGAUAUGAUGUUAUUAUUCGGUA